RNAcentral lists this non-coding RNA (781 nucleotides) under Diatraea saccharalis (sugarcane borer). The record is from RNAcentral. Lineage: Eukaryota; Metazoa; Arthropoda; Insecta; Lepidoptera; Crambidae.
AAAAAAAUUUUUUAUGGUUUGAAAUAAUUUAUUAUAAAUUUAUUUUAUAUAUAAAUUUUAGUAAUAAUUUUUAUUUAUUUUAAUAAUAAAUUAAUUAAAUAUAAAGUAGUAAAUAUUAUUAAAAAUUUAAGAAAUUAAGAUUUAGAAAUAUUUAAAUUAAUAACAAAUUUUGUGCCAGCAGUUGCGGUUAUACAAAAAUUAAAUUAAAUUUUAUUAGUGAUUAGUAAUUUUUUUUUAAUAAAAUUAAUUAAAUUUUAAAUUAUUAAGUGAAAUUUUAAUUUAAUUUAAAUUAAAUUUUAAAGAUUUAAUAAAAUUUAUUAAUAAACUAGGAUUAGAUACCCUAUUAUAUAAAAAAUAGAACAUAAUACUAAAAUAUUAGAUAAUAACUUAUUGAAACUUAAAUAAUUUGGCGGUAUUUUAGUUCAUUUAGAGGAAUCUGUUUAAUAAUUGAUAAUCCACGAAUAAAUUUACUUAAUUUAAAAUUUUGUAUAUCAUUGUUAAAAAAUAUUUUUAUAUAAUUAAAUGAUAUCUAAAAAUUUUUAUAAUAAAUUAAAUCAGAUCAAGAUACAGAUUAUAAUUAAGAAUAUAAUGGAUUACAAUAAAUUUAUUUAAAUGAAUAUUAAUUUUUAAAAUUUAAUUGAAAGUGGAUUUAAAUGUAAUUUUAUUUAGUUUAUUAAAAUGAUUUAAAAUUAAAAUAUGUACAUAUUGCCCGUCGCUUUCAUAUUAUAAGUUGAAAUAAGUCGUAACAAAGUAGGGGUACUGGAAAGUGUUCCUAGAAAAA